This 397-nucleotide ribosomal RNA is filed under the name uncultured bacterium. Its description in RNAcentral is "partial 16S ribosomal RNA". It matches the Rfam family "Bacterial small subunit ribosomal RNA", at positions 523 to 918 of the family's 1533-position model. The record is from RNAcentral.
AUACGUAGGGAGCGAGCGUUGUCCGGAAUGAUUGGGCGUAAAGGGCGCGUAGGCGGCGCGGUAAGUCUGGAGUGAAAGUCCUGCUUUCAAGGUGGGAAUUGCUUUGGAUACUGCCGCGCUUGAGUGCAGGAGAGGUUAUCGGAAUUCCCGGUGUAGCGGUGAAAUGCGUAGAGAUCGGGAGGAACACCAGUGGCGAAGGCGGGUAACUGGACUGCAACGGACGUUGAGGCGCGAAAGCGUGGGGAGCGAACAGGAUUAGAUACCCUGGUAGUCCACGCUGUAAACGAUGGAUGCUAGGUGUGGGGGGUAUCGACCCCCUCCGUGCCGGAGUUAACGCAAUAAGCAUCCCGCCUGGGGAGUACGGCCGCAAGGUUGAAACUCAAAUGAAUUGACGGGG